Molecule: transfer RNA, 86 nt
Filed under: Methanobacteriota archaeon
Lineage: Archaea; Methanobacteriati; Methanobacteriota
Description: Euryarchaeota archaeon tRNA-Ser
Rfam family: tRNA
About the family: Transfer RNA (tRNA) molecules are approximately 80 nucleotides in length. Their secondary structure includes four short double-helical elements and three loops (D, anti-codon, and T loops). Further hydrogen bonds mediate the characteristic L-shaped molecular structure. tRNAs have two regions of fundamental functional importance: the anti-codon, which is responsible for specific mRNA codon recognition, and the 3' end, to which the tRNAs corresponding amino acid is attached (by aminoacyl-tRNA synthetases). tRNAs cope with the degeneracy of the genetic code in two manners: having more than one tRNA (with a specific anti-codon) for a particular amino acid; and 'wobble' base-pairing, i.e. permitting non-standard base-pairing at the 3rd anti-codon position.
Source: RNAcentral
GCGACAGUCGCAUAGCCUGGUAUUGCGCAGGAUUGCUAAUCCUGUGGUGUUUCACCUCGAGGGUUCAAAUCCCUCCUGUCGCGCCA